GACGAACGCUGGCGGCGUGCUUAACACAUGCAAGUCGAACGGCACGGCCCUGCUUUUGUGGGGUGCUCGAGUGGGGCACGGGUGAGUAACACGUGAGUAUCCUGCUCUUGUCUUUGGGAUAAGUUCAGGAAACUGGGGCUAAUAUAGGAUAGGAUCUGUUGCUGCAUGGUGGGGGUUGGAAAGUUUCGGCGGUUGGGGAUGGACUAGCGGCUUAUCGGUUGGUUGGUGGGGUAGUGGCUUACCAAGUCAUUGAAGGGUCGCCGGCCUGGGAGCUGGGACGGCCACAAUACGCCUAAGAGACGGCCCAGACUCCUACGGUAGGCAGCGGUGGCGAGUAUGGCACAGUGGGCGCGAGCGUGAUGCAGCAACGCCGCGUGCGGAAAGACGGCUUACGGGUUAAAAACCGCUUUCGCCUGUGACGAAGCGUGAGUGACGGUACCGAAUAAAGAAGCACCGGCUAACUACGUG
This 468-nucleotide ribosomal RNA is filed under the name uncultured bacterium. Its description in RNAcentral is "partial 16S ribosomal RNA". It matches the Rfam family "Bacterial small subunit ribosomal RNA", at positions 28 to 507 of the family's 1533-position model. The record is from RNAcentral.